AUUGAACGCUGGCGGCAUGCCUUACACAUGCAAGUCGAACGGCAGCACGGAGCUUGCUCUGGUGGCGAGUGGCGAACGGGUGAGUAAUAUAUCGGAACGUACCCUAGAGUGGGGGAUAACGUAGCGAAAGUUACGCUAAUACCGCAUACGAUCUAAGGAUGAAAGUGGGGGAUCGCAAGACCUCAUGCUCGUGGAGCGGCCGAUAUCUGAUUAGCUAGUUGGUAGGGUAAAAGCCUACCAAGGCAUCGAUCAGUAGCUGGUCUGAGAGGACGACCAGCCACACUGGAACUGAGACACGGUCCAGACUCCUACGGGAGGCAGCAGUGGGGAAUUUUGGACAAUGGGCGAAAGCCUGAUCCAGCAAUGCCGCGUGAGUGAAGAAGGCCUUCGGGUUGUAAAGCUCUUUUGUCAGGGAAGAAACGGUGAGAGCUAAUAUCUCUUGCUAAUGACGGUACCUGAAGAAUAAGCACCGGCUAACUACGUGCCAGCAGCCGCGGUAAUACGUAGGGUGCAAGCGUUAAUCGGAAUUACUGGGCGUAAAGCGUGCGCAGGCGGUUUUGUAGGUCUGAUGUGAAAUCCCCGGGCUCAACCUGGGAAUUGCAUUGGAGACUGCAAGGCUAGAAUCUGGCAGAGGGGGGUAGAAUUCCACGUGUAGCAGUGAAAUGCGUAGAUAUGUGGAGGAACACCGAUGGCGAAGGCAGCCCCCUGGGUCAAGAUUGACGCUCAUGCACGAAAGCGUGGGGAGCAAACAGGAUUAGAUACCUUGGUAGUCCACCCCCUAAACGAUGUCUACUAGUUGUCGGGUCUUAAUUGACUUGGUAACGCAGCUAACGCGUGAAGUAGACCGCCUGGGGAGUACGGUCGCAAGAUUAAAACUCAAAGGAAUUGACGGGGACCCGCACAAGCGGUGGAUGAUGUGGAUUAAUUCGAUGCAACGCGAAAAACCUUACCUACCCUUGACAUGGCUGGAAUCCUUGAGAGAUCAGGGAGUGCUCGAAAGAGAACCAGUACACAGGUGCUGCAUGGCUGUCGUCAGCUCGUGUCGUGAGAUGUUGGGUUAAGUCCCGCAACGAGCGCAACCCUUGCCAUUAGUUGCUACGAAAGGGCACUCUAAUGAGACUGCCGGUGACAAACCGGAGGAAGGUGGGGAUGACGUCAAGUCCUCAUGGCCCUUAUGGGUAGGGCUUCACCCGUCAUACAAUGGUACAUACAGAGCGCCGCCAACCCGCGAGGGGGAGCUAAUCGCAGAAAGUGUAUCGCAGUCCGGAUUGUAGUCUGCAACUCGACUGCAUGAAGUUGGAAUCGCUAGUAAUCGCGGAUCAGCAUGUCGCGGUGAAUACGUUCCCGGGUCU
This 1352-nucleotide ribosomal RNA is filed under the name uncultured bacterium. RNAcentral describes it as "bacterial SSU rRNA". It matches the Rfam family "Bacterial small subunit ribosomal RNA", at positions 28 to 1381 of the family's 1533-position model. The record is from RNAcentral.